UGGUAAUGCCGGAUGCUCCAUCACACCGCAUGGUGUGUUGGGAAAGCCUUUGCGGCAUGGGAUGGGGUCGCGUCCUAUCAGCUUGAUGGCGGGGUAACGGCCCACCAUGGCUUCGACGGGUAGCCGGCCUGAGAGGGCGACCGGCCACAUUGGGACUGAGAUACGGCCCAGACUCCUACGGGAGGCAGCAGUGGGGAAUAUUGCACAAUGGGCGCAAGCCUGAUGCAGCGACGCCGCGUGAGGGAUGGAGGCCUUCGGGUUGUAAACCUCUUUUGUUAGGGAGCAAGGCACUUUGUGUUGAGUGUACCUUUCGAAUAAGCACCGGCUAACUACGUGCCAGCAGCCGCGGUAAUACGUAGGGUGCAAGCGUUAUCCGGAAUUAUUGGGCGUAAAGGGCUCGUAGGCGGUUCGUCGCGUCCGGUGUGAAAGUCCAUCGCUUAACGGUGGAUCCGCGCCGGGUACGGGCGGGCUUGAGUGCGGUAGGGGAGACUGGAAUUCCCGGUGUAACGGUGGAAUGUGUAGAUAUCGG
This 529-nucleotide ribosomal RNA is filed under the name Bifidobacterium breve. RNAcentral describes it as "bacterial SSU rRNA". It matches the Rfam family "Bacterial small subunit ribosomal RNA", at positions 161 to 700 of the family's 1533-position model. Lineage: Bacteria; Bacillati; Actinomycetota; Actinomycetes; Bifidobacteriales; Bifidobacteriaceae. The record is from RNAcentral.